RNAcentral lists this transfer RNA (74 nucleotides) under Chloroflexota bacterium. RNAcentral's name for it is "Chloroflexi bacterium (mine drainage metagenome) tRNA-Arg". It matches the Rfam family "tRNA". Rfam says of the family: Transfer RNA (tRNA) molecules are approximately 80 nucleotides in length. Their secondary structure includes four short double-helical elements and three loops (D, anti-codon, and T loops). The record is from RNAcentral. RNAcentral also lists the same sequence under 1 other name. Lineage: Bacteria; Bacillati; Chloroflexota.
GCCCCUGUAGUUCAAAUGGAUAGAACACCGCCGUCCUAAGGCGGGUGUUGUGGGUUCAAUUCCUGCCGGGGGCA